AAAUUGAAGAGUUUGAUCAUGGCUCAGAUUGAACGCUGGCGGCAGGCCUAACACAUGCAAGUCGAACGGUAACAGGAAGCAGCUUGCUGCUUUGCUGACGAGUGGCGGACGGGUGAGUAAUGUCUGGGAAACUGCCUGAUGGAGGGGGAUAACUACUGGAAACGGUGGCUAAUACCGCAUAACGUCGCAAGACCAAAGAGGGGGACCUUCGGGCCUCUUGCCAUCAGAUGUGCCCAGAUGGGAUUAGCUAGUUGGUGAGGUAACGGCUCACCAAGGCGACGAUCCCUAGCUGGUCUGAGAGGAUGACCAGCCACACUGGAACUGAGACACGGUCCAGACUCCUACGGGAGGCAGCAGUGGGGAAUAUUGCACAAUGGGCGCAAGCCUGAUGCAGCCAUGCCGCGUGUAUGAAGAAGGCCUUCGGGUUGUAAAGUACUUUCAGCGGGGAGGAAGGUGUUGUGGUUAAUAACCGCAGCAAUUGACGUUACCCGCAGAAGAAGCACCGGCUAACUCCGUGCCAGCAGCCGCGGUAAUACGGAGGGUGCAAGCGUUAAUCGGAAUUACUGGGCGUAAAGCGCACGCAGGCGGUCUGUCAAGUCGGAUGUGAAAUCCCCGGGCUCAACCUGGGAACUGCAUUCGAAACUGGCAGGCUUGAGUCUUGUAGAGGGGGGUAGAAUUCCAGGUGUAGCGGUGAAAUGCGUAGAGAUCUGGAGGAAUACCGGUGGCGAAGGCGGCCCCCUGGACAAAGACUGACGCUCAGGUGCGAAAGCGUGGGGAGCAAACAGGAUUAGAUACCCUGGUAGUCCACGCCGUAAACGAUGUCUACUUGGAGGUUGUGCCCUUGAGGCGUGGCUUCCGGAGCUAACGCGUUAAGUAGACCGCCUGGGGAGUACGGCCGCAAGGUUAAAACUCAAAUGAAUUGACGGGGGCCCGCACAAGCGGUGGAGCAUGUGGUUUAAUUCGAUGCAACGCGAAGAACCUUACCUGGUCUUGACAUCCACGGAAGUUUUCAGAGAUGAGAAUGUGCCUUCGGGAACCGUGAGACAGGUGCUGCAUGGCUGUCGUCAGCUCGUGUUGUGAAAUGUUGGGUUAAGUCCCGCAACGAGCGCAACCCUUAUCCUUUGUUGCCAGCGAUUAGGUCGGGAACUCAAAGGAGACUGCCAGUGAUAAACUGGAGGAAGGUGGGGAUGACGUCAAGUCAUCAUGGCCCUUACGACCAGGGCUACACACGUGCUACAAUGGCGCAUACAAAGAGAAGCGACCUCGCGAGAGCAAGCGGACCUCAUAAAGUGCGUCGUAGUCCGGAUUGGAGUCUGCAACUCGACUCCAUGAAGUCGGAAUCGCUAGUAAUCGUGGAUCAGAAUGCCACGGUGAAUACGUUCCCGGGCCUUGUACACACCGCCCGUCACACCAUGGGAGUGGGUUGCAAAAGAAGUAGGUAGCUUAACCUUCGGGAGGGCGCUUACCACUUUGUGAUUCAUGACUGGGGUGAAGUCGUAACAAGGUAACCGUAGGGGAACCUGCGGUUGGAUCACCUCCUUA
Molecule: ribosomal RNA, 1542 nt
Filed under: Salmonella enterica
Lineage: Bacteria; Pseudomonadati; Pseudomonadota; Gammaproteobacteria; Enterobacterales; Enterobacteriaceae
Also listed under: 10 other names
Description: bacterial SSU rRNA
Rfam family: Bacterial small subunit ribosomal RNA
Source: RNAcentral